AGUGUUUGACAAUGGGGGGAACCCUGAUCCAGCCAUCCCGCGUGUAUGAUGAAGGCCUUCGGGUUGUACAGUACUUUUGGCAGAGAAGAAAAGGUAUCCCCUAAUACGGGCUACUUCUGACGGUAGCUGCAGAAUAAGCACCGGCUAGCUACGUGCCAGCAGCCGCGGUAAUACGUAGGGUGCAAGCGUUAAUCGGAAUUACUGGGCGUAAAGAGUGUGUAGGCGGUUCGGAAAGAAAGAUGUGAAAUACCAGGGCUCAACCUUGGAACUGAAUUUUUAACUGACGAGCUAGAGUAUGUCAGAGGGGGGUAGAAUUCAACGUGUAGCAGUGAAAUGCGUAGAUAUGUGGAGGAAUACCGAUGGCGAAGGCAGCCCCCUGGGAUAAUACUGACGCUCAGACACGAAAGCGUGGGGAGCAAACAGG
Molecule: ribosomal RNA, 424 nt
Filed under: uncultured bacterium
Lineage: Bacteria
Description: partial 16S ribosomal RNA
Rfam family: Bacterial small subunit ribosomal RNA
Source: RNAcentral